GAUGAACGCUGGCGGCGUGCCUAAUACAUGCAAGUCGAGCGAACGGACGAGAAGCUUGCUUCUCUGGUGUUAGCGGCGGACGGGUGAGUAACACGUGGAUAACCUACCUAUAAGACUGGGAUAACUUCGGGAAACCGGAGCUAAUACCGGAUAAUAUUUUGAACCGCAUGGUUCAAAAGUGAAAGACGGUCUUGCUGUCACUUAUAGAUGGAUCCGCGCUGCAUUAGCUUGUUGGUAAGGUAACGGCUUACCAAGGCAACGAUGCAUAGCCGAGCUGAGAGGGUGAUCGGCCACACUGGAAGGGAGACACGGUACAGACGCCUACGGGAGGCACCCGUAGGGAAUCUUCCGGCAUGGGCGAAAGCCUGACGGAGCAACGCCGCGUGAGUGAUGAAGGUCUUCGGAUCGUAAAACUCUGUUAUUAGGGAAGAACAUAUGUGUAAGUAACUGUGCACAUCUUGACGGUACCUAAUCAGAAAGCCACGGCUAACUACGUG
RNAcentral lists this ribosomal RNA (497 nucleotides) under uncultured bacterium. Its description in RNAcentral is "partial 16S ribosomal RNA". It matches the Rfam family "Bacterial small subunit ribosomal RNA", at positions 28 to 507 of the family's 1533-position model. The record is from RNAcentral.